RNAcentral lists this ribosomal RNA (459 nucleotides) under uncultured bacterium. RNAcentral's name for it is "partial 16S ribosomal RNA". It matches the Rfam family "Bacterial small subunit ribosomal RNA", at positions 338 to 795 of the family's 1533-position model. The record is from RNAcentral.
CCUACGGGUGGCAGCAGUGAGGAAUAUUGGUCAAUGGGCGGAAGCCUGAACCAGCCAAGUAGCGUGCGGGAUGAAGGCCCUACGGGUCGUAAACCGCUUUUGCACGGGGAUAACACCCUCCACUUGUGGAGGUCUGCAGGUACCGUGCGAAUAAGGGCCGGCUAAUUCCGUGCCAGCUGCCGCGGUAAUCCGGAAGGCCCGGGCGUUAUCCGGAUUUAUUGGGCGUAAAGGGAGCGUAGGCGGGCGUUCAAGUCAGCGGUAAAAGCGCGCGGCUCAACCGCGCCCCGCAGUUGAAACUGGACGCCUUGAGUGCACAACAGGCAGGCGGAAUUCGUGGUGUAGCGGUGAAAUGCAUAGAUAUCACGAGGAACCCCGAUGGCGAAGGCAGCCUGCCGGGGUGCGACUGACGCUGAGGCUCGAAGGUGCGGGUAUCAAACAGGAUUAGAUACCCGUGUAGUC